Dama dama (fallow deer) is the source of this 174-nucleotide long non-coding RNA. RefSeq lists it as uncharacterized. The transcript has 3 exons. NCBI's taxonomy places the organism in Eukaryota, Metazoa, Chordata, Mammalia, Artiodactyla, Cervidae. The record is from RefSeq and is a predicted model, not a curated record.
CGUCUUCUGCAUUGGCAGGGCCUCUGCUGCAAGUGCCUGAAGAACCCGCAACCGGAGGUGUGAGCUGAGCCUUAAACUUGGGGGCCUCGCUGAGAACAGCCUGGGAGGCUGCUCUGAAAGGACAGCACGGGAGAAACAAACGGAGCAGCCCGCCCGGCACCUCCCAUGAGGUUC